UCCACACUUGACUACCUGUAGUUAAUCAUUAAUCUCUUGCCAUUUCUGUUUUUACUAUGUACACAUGUAAACACUGAUGCCGUCAGCAGGAUUACAUCCCUGCCACCAGAUACAAAACCUGUUACUUCUUAACUCUGAAACAAGUUUGCCAAACUGACGACACUGUACCCGACCUUAGCAGUCUUUUCAUCAUAUGAACCUUUAAAUAACUGUGAAGAUGAUCCUUGUGUUGUUCCUGCUGUGUUCAGGAUUAUCUCUCUUUACGUUUGGAUCAAACCGUCUACGUGUUUUCAAUACUGUUGGAAAAAAGCUACAGUGGGAUAAAGCAUUGAAUAUUUGCAAAGGGGGAAAUGAAUCACUUGUAACUCUGUACGAUGAAGAGGAUGCAAAUUUCAUGAACAAAGCGAUGGACAAAAGUCAGGGCUCUCACUGGCUUGGUCUGCACAAAGGACGAAAUAUCACAUGGUCAGACGGUGUCUCUGUCACAUUCAAUAAUUCCUAUGUGACUGGAACAUACACUUCUCAGACAUGCGUGGCUAUUGACAACAACGAGUGGACAAGUUUUAAUUGUUCAGAGAGAAAACCUUUCAUGUGCAACAAGGAUGGUAAUUAUACACUGUUUGAAGACAAGAAGAACUGGUGUCAGGCUCUACAAUACUGCAGAAAGUCAGUCUUGGCUGACUUGGUCAGCAUCAGUGAUAAAUCACAAAAUACGGAAGUGAUUAGAAAGGGAAACAAUGCAAGCUUUUGGAUUGGACUCAUGCAUGAUGAAUGGGAGUGGGUGGACAAAAGUUGCUCUUUAUACCGGAAAUGGGAAAACAA
Long non-coding RNA from Etheostoma cragini (Arkansas darter), 822 nucleotides. RefSeq lists it as uncharacterized. Lineage: Eukaryota; Metazoa; Chordata; Actinopteri; Perciformes; Percidae. The record is from RefSeq and is a predicted model, not a curated record. The transcript has 4 exons.